Molecule: long non-coding RNA, 433 nt
Organism: Sipha flava (yellow sugarcane aphid)
Lineage: Eukaryota; Metazoa; Arthropoda; Insecta; Hemiptera; Aphididae
Exons: 2
Source: RefSeq, a predicted model, not a curated record
AGGUCAUCAAUAUCACGUAGACCUCUUAAACUGGCUCUAAGUGCCUGAAUAUCUUGAGCACUUAUUCGACCAGCGUGUUUGGCACCACUUGAUGCGGUGCUCAAAUGUAUCAAAAUCCUUGUCCAAUAUUUGUGCCUGUAAGUAGACCGUCUGUGCCAUUUUGUACCAAUCUGCCAUACAGUCAGCUAACUGAGUAACUACAGGCUGAACAUCCGUCUCAAGUAAAGUUCGAGCUCUACGGCUGGUCUCUGUUAUCUAGAAAAUAUUUUUUUAAUUAUACUAGGUAUUGAUUUAAAAAUUUUAAUUAUGUUGUAAUAACCACAUUUCAAUUUUAAAAUUAAAAUUGCGGAAUACUGUAAGAAUUCAAGAUAUUUUACAUUAAAUUUGGUAUUAAAACAUUUAAUGUAAAAUAUAAAUAAUUGUGUACACUUCA